This 253-nucleotide ribosomal RNA is filed under the name uncultured bacterium. Its description in RNAcentral is "partial 16S ribosomal RNA". It matches the Rfam family "Bacterial small subunit ribosomal RNA", at positions 524 to 776 of the family's 1533-position model. The record is from RNAcentral.
UACGUAGGGAGCAAGCGUUGUUCGGAUUUACUGGGCGUAAAGGGCGCGUAGGCGGCGCUGUAAGUCACUUGUGAAAUCUCCGGGCUUAACUCGGAACGGCCAAGUGAAACUGUCAAGCUAGAGUGCAGAAGGGGCAAUCGGAAUUCUUGGUGUAGCGGUGAAAUGCGUAGAUAUCAAGAGGAACACCUGAGGUGAAGACGGGUUGCUGGGCUGACACUGACGCUGAGGCGCGAAAGCCAGGGGAGCAAACGGG